UAUCUCAUAUACUAAAGCAAAUAAUUUUGUCACCUCACUUGAUGAUGUGGCGUGACUGUUAAUUAAGAUAAUUCACAAAAUAGGCCGGCGGGAUUUCAAUUCUCUUGCUCCUCCUUCUCCUUGAAACUGUGGCUUUAUGUUUUAGGAAAUCACAAAUUUCUCUCAAUCAGUUUCAAUCUUUCCAUAAUCAUGAAAUAGUCUCACCUGUUCUUUGAUAAUCGAUCUUUCCAUAAUUAUGAAAUCCUUCUCUUGCAAGCUGUAUAUUCAAAUUAAAAACCCUCAACCUUCAUCUUUUUUGCGAUUAUUCUCAGCCACUCUUCCCUGCUGUAUUUUUUUUUAUGUGGGUGAGUUCUUCAGUUGGUAAUGCUUUUUAUUUUACUCAAUCUUAUUGUUUAAUUGAUCCAGUAUUAGUAUAUUUUAUGUUUAGAUUUAGGUUUUAUUCAUGUCUUUGAUGAAUCUCUGUUUUGAUUUUGGGGUUUUAUAAAUCAGAAACCCUAAUUUUUGGCGAUUGUGUGUUGUUCGUUUUAAAUCCGAUUCAGUGCUUAUCAAAAGCUUUUCCUUUCACAAAUACUUGAUCUGUAGGAGGCGAUUGUCAUUGAAGUGAUUGUUCAACACCCUUAAUCGUAACCAUAUGAACUAGAUGAUGGUAUGUUAAGUUUUAUUUACAUCAACUUUUGGUGCUUUUAAUCUUACAAUCCUACGUUUCUACAGAAAAUCCUAAUUAUUUGUAGCUUAUUUUGUGUUAGAAUUUGUAGAAUUUGUAGAAUUUGUGAUAAUAUGUAACCAGAUCUAUUGAUUUAGUAUUUUGAUUACUCUGAUCUGUGGUGUUGAGCGAUCUUUGUUAAGGUUCAUAAAGUCUAAGUUGAGGAAAGAAGUUGAUGAGGUUGUAAUAUUUCAAGAUGGAAUGUAUCUGACUUUAAGAGAAAUUUUUGAGAGCUUGAAUUUAAAUUGGUAAUAAAAAAACCAUUUGAAUGUUGCAUACUUUUUUUUAUGUAUAUCACUUAUUCAUAGAUUUGCUGUUCGAAUUUCAUUCAAUUGCUCUUAGGGAUGUAUGUUCUUAUCUUGAUUUAGUUCUCUAAAAUUUUGUGUUUUUUAUACCUUUAUACUUUUAUGUAUUGACUUGAUGACAUUC
This 1132-nucleotide long non-coding RNA is filed under the name Helianthus annuus (common sunflower). RNAcentral describes it as "hypothetical non coding rna". The record is from RNAcentral. Lineage: Eukaryota; Viridiplantae; Streptophyta; Magnoliopsida; Asterales; Asteraceae.